CUAUAUAUAUGGUUUAUGGUUAUAAUCAAUGUUUUAAAAAUCAAAUUGAACAUCAAACCGAUAAGACUUUUGGGUUAUGAUUAAACUGUAUAAAACCGCUCGAAACAGGAUGAAGCCACAAACGCACCGUUCACAAUGUCAGUUCACGGUUCAACUGAUUGAACCGUAUGCUUUGAAUUCUUAAACAUUGGUUAUAAUUUCUUCUUUAAACGAUUUUUUUAAGUGUUCCCUUAAUGCAUUCAAUUUUUUUUUAAGGAAAAAACUCAUUCAAUAAGAGAAGCCUUCAUGCAAUUGGAGAUACACCUAACCCCUAUGAGAAAGCCAUCUCAAUUGUUGGCAAGACUUUGGCUCCUUUUGAUGAUGACAACUUGAUUCCAUGCUUUGGCUUUGGUGAUGGUAAGUUCUAAUCCUUAAAGUAUAUAGAACAUGUAAAAAAAGAAGAAAUAGUUUUUUUAUUUUAUUCUCAAUUCAAUUUAUGACUCAACUUUGACCAUUCUUUAUACAGCUACAACUCAUGAUCAAGAAGUAUUCAGCUUUCAUAGUGAUCAUUCACCUUGCCAUGGCUUUGAGGAAGUUUUGGCUUGCUACAAAAAAAUUGUUCCGAACUUGAAACUCUCAGGUAUAUCAUCUUCACUUUUGAUUUUAAUGUUAUUCACAUAGAAUUACUGCAAUCAAUCAGUUUAUUAUGUUGCAAUUGUUAGAUGUAGAUUACCUUUAAUUUCGGUUAAUUUUGAAUUGAAAAACAAUGUAUAAUUAUAGUUAGGGAUGGAUCUAUGACGACCAUAGCGAAGUUUCCCCUACCAGGAUUUUGAUAUUUCAGUAUUAACGACUUAUUUAUACCUUUUUAUUAACAACUUGCAAGAAGACAUCAAAGGAUUUUAAUUUUUUUGAAUAUGGACAAAUUUAUAGACAUAAUCUAAAUGUUAUAAACUUUCAAUUCAACUGAUAGUUUCGUAAUGCAUGUAUCCAAUAAAAAGUCAUUAACCGGUAUAAUUUGAUCUCUUAUGAGUAUUACCUCCUAAACUUCAAAUAUGUAGAUGUCUUUUGUUUUAUGAUAAAUGGCUGAAGGAAUAAUUGGAUUUUGUGUGUAGGACCAACUUCUUAUGCUCCUGUGAUUGAAGCUGCCAUAGACAUAGUUGAGAAAAGUCAUGGCCAAUUCCAUGUGUUGGUUAUCAUUGCAGAUGGUCAGGUAUAUAUAAAAUGUUAAUUUUACCUUGAUUAAUGCUUUCAACUGUUUGCAUAUGUUUGUCAAAUCAUAUUCAUAUAUGAAAUUUGUGUUAUUUUAAGGUUACAAGAAGUGUAGAUUAUGAUGAUAAGGAACUCAGUCCCCAAGAAGAGAAAACAAUCAAAGCAAUUGCUGAAGCAAGGUAGAGACAUAGUAUAAUUUUCGUUUAUUUGGGGAUUCAUAUGAAAUUAUACAUUAUUUUCCUAUUCUGUUUUUAAAGUACUUAAAAAUGAUUUCAUCUGAUUAAUAACAUUAAUUUAUAUCUAUAUUUUUAUUUUUUAUUUAUGAUACAGCAAAUAUCCACUUGCUAUAGUCCUGGUUGGAGUUGGCGAUGGACCAUGGGAAGACAUGGAAAAGUUUGAUGACAAAAUUCCAGCACGCGAUUUUGAUAAUUUUCAGGUAUUACAUAGCAAUCUUACAUUAAAAUUGGGUAUCAUAAAGUCAUAACAUAUUUCAAUUCGUAUCUGGUAUUCCAUACUUUUAUAUAUGCAACUGAUAUUUUCAGCUAAAUGUUAGUUAUCGGAUAAUCUAACAGCUGAAUUCUCCAGUCUUUAGAUUAGUCUACCGACUGAUAUUUGACUAGAAGAACUGCAACAUUCUUUUUCAUCACGUGAUCGCAUAUAUUUUCAUUAUGUGCAGUUUGUUAAUUUCACGAGGAUCAUGUCUAAAACCACAAACCCCGACGAGAAAGAAGCAGCUUUUGCUCUGGCUGCUCUCAUGGAGAUUCCCUUCCAAUACAAAGCAUGUGUCGAAUUUCGUAAACUUGGGUACAACGCUUAAACCUUAACCUAUAUUUUGCUACCUAUUCUAUAAAAAAUAUAUUCUUUUAACGAUGUGUGCCAGAAUUUCACACAUCUUUUUUCGUCAUAUUUUUCUAUAUGUCUGCAAACUUGCACGAUAUCUUUACUAGAACUACAUGAAAAGUGAAUGGACCUAUAAUAUUAGUACUAUACAUUUGAUUCAUUAUGUUGACAACUUUCUUUGAAACAAUUCAAUUUUUUUCGUCUCAACUGACACUAAUUAAAAUGAUUAAUUUUUUCUUGUUCUUUUUGUGUUUAUGAAUAACAGACGUGUGACAGGAACAGCAAAGAGAAUAAUUCCGAAACCUUCACCUGUUCCUUAUUCUCGGCCUGCACCAAGCAAUUCGCCAGCAGCAACCACAGACGAGCAAAAUCAAUCUGUUAGUAUUAAAUUAAAGCUUAAGCCACACUACAUUAUCUUCACUAAUUAUAAUUUUAGUAUGUUAAACCGGAGAAUCCACUUCCUUUGGAGUGAACAAUUUAGUUUAGAGUGAUAUAUUUACUGAUAUUGAAAGAAAAAAAAUCAGUGGUUGAUAUCGUAGUCCAACAACAGAAUAAAAAAAGUGAAUCAAAUUUUUACCGAGACUAAAAUUAAACAUUCUUGAUUAGAACCAAUUCAGAAUUCACCAACAUAUUAAUCUCAUUUUAUAUAUAAUUGUGUAACCAUUGGAAUUAUGUAGGCCUGUCCUAUUUGUCUGACCAAUGCAAGGGAUUUGGCGUUUGGAUGUGGGCACAUGGUGAGUUUAUAACCACUUUGAAUUUAGAGUAAAUAAUCAAACUAGUUCUAAAAGAUAGUUAUUUGAAUUUGAAAUUACAACAUUCAAAUCAAGUCUUUGACUGUUUAGUUGAUCAAUCAAAUUAAACCUCAAGAAAGAAAUUUCAGGGUUUAAUUUGAUCGAUGAAAUACACAUGUUGCGACAAUUUGAUGGUAAAAAAUCAUUGAGGGGUAUUUUGAAAGUAUUAUAUCUUUUAGAUAGUUAUUUGAUUAUUUACUUUUAAAAUUGUCUUAAUUAUUUCUCUAAUUGUUUUUAGAUUUAAUUAAGUUUUUAACAAUAUUUUGGAAUGCAGACUUGCAGAGAUUGUGGAUCAAGGUUAAGUAAUUGUCCUAUAUGUAGAGUGAGGAUUACUAGUCGUCUUAGAGUAUAUAAUGGAUGAUUUUACAAUGCAUAUGAUGUACAAAAAAUAGUUUGCAUAACAUAUACAGUAUAUACUCUUUUCUACGGUAAGAUAUAUAUACUUAAAUGUAGGGUUGAUGGUAUUGUUUCAUGAGUGUGUUGAAAAGUUUAGAUGUGCUUAUGUAAGUUUGAACUCCCUCCCUUUCUAGUUGAUUGUCUCUUUAAAAGUAACGAAAAAUUCAAUUUCAUUUGCAUUUUCUAUGUUCAUGGCACAAUUAGCCUAUUCUUUAAAAGUAAUAUUUGUUUGAAUUGUAGUUUAAAUUUUGACUAGUAAGAUCCACCAUUGUACCGGGAGUCCGGGAUCCAUAUUGGAUGAUCCUAAGUAAUUAUUUAUUUUUCUAUUUUUUUUUUGUCAAAUAGCAUAGUGACUAGAAAUUUCACCCUUAAUGUAGAUAAGUCGGAUGAUAGGGGUUCGAACCCCGACCCACUACAUAUAUAUAAUGUAAUGUCCUGCCAAUUGAGCUAAGUUCGUGGAACAUUGUUCUUUUUAAUUCACAUUAAAAAUACUAAUUUACAAUUAAUGUGAAACGAAGGAAAUAUACAGUUUGUUUCUAAAUCAUGAUGUUUGAGAGCAUAUUGUUGCAAUUGAAAAAUACAGUAGUAGUUAGCAUGCCUUGCGUUUGUACGAGUCAAUAAUUAUACAUCAAUUAUAUUAGAUCACUUUUGGCUGAUAAAUAAAGUAAUUCAUACGCGUAGAAACGAAAAAUAUUUAGGCAUUAUAUUAUUGACAUUGUCUAAUGUAUUUCCACCAACUUAUAUAAACAUGAAAGUACAAACAAUUAUAUGAAUUUCGCGUAAUAACACAUAUACCUCCAUUUAAAAAAUCUCUUUUAUUUUAAAUUAUAAUAAAUAAUAAAGGGCAAAAAUAAAUUUUAGUUAAACAAAAUAAGGGCGUAAAUGAUUAAUAAAAAAAGGGCUUAAAUGGAAUUAAAAGUGAUAAGGUAUAAAUUAUAAGCUCUAACACUAUAAAAUAGCGUCUAAAAAAGAAGCUAUAAACUAGUGAAAUAUGUUAGAACAAAACAUAUAUAAAUUAAUAUCUCGUUCAUUGUGGUUUGAUAAUAAUAUAGCAAAGGGACAAUUUAUAUACUAAAUACGUGUUCAAGUGUUUAGGUGUAAGCAGGGGCGGCCCAGACCCAUGUGCAACAUGGGCCGUUGCACAAGGUCUCUUAAAAUUGAGGGCCACAAAAAAAAUUAUAGGGUAGUAGUAUUAGUAAGUUAGAGGGUGUAAAAAUUAAUUAUUUAUGUUAAAACAUGUUGUAAGGCCCAACCUGUGUCUCUAAGAAAAAAAAGCAGCAAAGAAGAGAAGCAUGUAAUGUAAGAUCAAAAUCAAAACAUCAAAACAAGAAACCAACUCCUCCUUCUAUUCUCAAAAACUCCAUUAAUUCACCACCACCACCAGCGUCGACUUGCCACCAUCACCGGCGACGUUAAGCUACUCCUUCUUGGCUUCUUCUAUUCUCAAAAACUCCAUUAAAGUUGAAACAAAGGUAAAAACUAAAUUUUACAAGUUAGGGUUUCUAAAAUUUGAAAUUAAAAAUCACAAUUUUACUAUUUUAAUUGUGUUUCCCAAUUCAACUCACAUAGUUUCCGAAUUCCCAUCAUUCUUUUUCUCCCAAAGUCAAUUACAUUUUUUUUAUUUAUUAAAAGGCCACUUUCAUAUUUCGCACAGAGCUUCCAAAAACUCGAAGACGCCACUGGGUGUAAGAAACAUUACAACAAAAUGAAAAGGAUUAAUGUAUCCUCUAUGUGUUCCCAUGAUCCUCUAUAGAACAAGGUUAAGACAACACAUGUUCUCAUCCUCUAGACACCACAUAUGAUCACAAAAAAGUCAAAGAGAGCGAUUGUCCAUCACCUGGACAACAACAUAAGACUUCGAGCGAAGAAAGUGAUAGUCUAAAAUUGUCAUCUUAUAGACAUCACAUAUGAUAAGGAAAGUCAACAUUAUAUUAUAUCAUCUAAACAUUUGUCGAAGACUUCAUCUUCUGAGCAACAUAGAUAAUCAAGUAAAGUCAAGAUCAACACUUCAAUCCAUCAAAAUGGACAUAUGUCAAAGACCUUAUUCUCUAGAUUCAUAUAUCUAUUUGGUAAAUAGCGGUCAUCUAUGCAAUAAUUACGUGUCUUAGUGAUUUAGUCACACACAAAAGAUAAAUGAAUUAUAUCUUUGUGGUAGAAAAGAUAAAUAACAUCUAAUGCAAUUUUGCCUUCAGGAAACAAAGAAAAAGUAAAUUAUGUAUAAAAUAUAAUUUAUAUUUUUAAAAUAUUAAUUAUACAAACUGUCAAAAAUAAUAAUAUUAUUAACUCUACAAAUUUUAAAAUAAUUUUAUUAUGUUUAAUUUCUUAACUAGUGAUCCGGUAUUUUACUUCUUUUAUUCUUAUCUCUAUAUUUAAGGUAAAAAAUGUUCUAGUCUUUAAAAAAUUACGAACUUUUAAUUUUAUUCUCUUAAAAAGAAAAUAUUCAUUUUUAGUCCUACUUACAAUUUAAAGCGACUAUUUUGAGUGACUAAAAAUAUAUAUAUUUUUUAAAAAAUAGAAAUUACUCUUAUAAACUGUAAUAUCAUAGAAGACUAAAAUUAUUAUUAAAAUUUAAUAAGAUUUUUUUUAUCAUAAAUAGUAUAUAUAUAUAUAUUACAGUAGAAUUCAAAAUAAUUGCUAAAUGAAUGAAAGAUAAACGAUCAACAAGUUGCUUCACUAAAUUAUUUAUUUAUUUAUUUUUAUUGUAAGCCAAUCCUUUUUAAAUAGCAAUAAGAAUUAAUGUUUUUUUUGAGAUAAAAUAAGAAUUAAACUUAAAAUAAUGUAAUUUUGCAGAGAUUAAAAAUAUAUUUAAUGCAAGCACACCAUUUUACCAAAUUUUCUCUUUCACACUUUACUCUUCUUGUGCUUUUUCAACGUUCCAAUUCCAACAGAGCUUCAACGAACGCGAGUACCAAUUCGCGGUUCGCCGGCAGACAGUUGAACGAAUUACUAUAUAAAUAUGGGACACAGUUCAAACAGCAAGAAGAAAUCUCCCAACAGCGACAAGUAUGCUUUGAUUCAAGAUAACUUCACUUCCCUCGAACAGGUACGCGGUUCUCAUCUAAUUACUUUUUUCUAAUCGCAAAUAUCACUAAUUAAUUAUCAGCUACUUUUUUUUCUUCUUUUCUUUCUUUCUUUCUUGUAGAACAUUAUCAGUAGGUACUGUUAGAGAGAAGAGUUAGACUCUGUUUGGUAAAAAAUAAGCUAUAAGCCAGCUGAUAGCUGAAAAGCAAACUAGCAGAAUAAAAUUAAAGUGUUCGGCAAAUUUAUCGUACAAAAUGACAUGAAAGUAGUUAGUGGGUAGUUUUUAGUUUUUUUUUGGUAAGUGUAUAACUUUGUUACCAAACACUUCCAUUUUUAUCAAAGAAGCUUAUAAGGUAGUCCAAUAAGCUAGCUUCUAGCUUAUUGGACUUACCAAACACACGCUAAUGUUUCAUUGUAAACCCAUUCCAUCCCAUAUAGUUUUGAGUGGAAUGGAAUACAAAAAAUGAAUGGAGUGGAAUACAAUUGGAUUGGUGGUAAGGUCAUGUUCCUCCAAGGCUCCAACUGAGUUAAAUUUAUUUUUUAAAAAUUAAAUAAAAUUGGUUCAGAAUUUAUAAGAGUGAGAUUCUUUUAUAUAAGAAUGAGCAACAUAAAAAUCAAAUCACGAGUCUUACAAUUUUAUUUUGUACAAUUUUUUUUUGUUAACUCAUGAUAAAAAUAAAUAAAUAUUUACCUUUUUUAGAAAAAAAAAUUAAGAAUGUGCUACACAAUUGCACUAUCCAAUAACCAAGUGCAACAUUUUAUUUUAUGUCCAGAAAUAAUACAUCCCAGUUGUUUCACUAAUUACACCAUCUAGUUAUAAUAAAUUGGCUAGAUUUUCCUGUCAAAAAAAAAAAGUUGGCUAGAUUAUAAUAUGAGUCCUGUCCUCCAAUUUAUUUCAAAAUUUAUCGCAAUGAGGCCGAUUCUUCAAAUCACAUGUAGAUGAAAUUUGCAGUGGAUUUCAUUUAAUCUUCAUUGUCCUAUUUUUAUAGGUUAUUGCUGCCCUGGGGAAAUAUGGUUUAGAAUCAUCAAAUCUCAUCCUUGGAAUUGAUUUCACAAAGAGUAAUGAAUGGACAGGUAUUUAGUUAUACUUGUAGUACACGAUCAACAUUUAACCAAGUGAUUACAUCAUUAAUAUGUUGUUGAGAACCAUGAUUAAGAGCUAACGUUUUCUAUAUAUGGUUUAUGAUUUGAGAGUUUUGGUUAUAAUCAAUGUUUUAAAAAUCAAAUUGAACAUCAAACUGACAAGACUUUUGGGUUAUGAUUUAACUGUUUAAAACCGCUCGAAUUAGAAUGAAGCCGCAAACGAAUCGCUCAAAUUAAUUACAACUGAACCAUAAACAAUGUCAGCUCAUUGUUCAACCGUUGAACCAUAUGGUUUGAAUUUUAAAACAUUGGUUAUAAUUUCUUCUUGAAAUGAUUUUUAUUCUAAGUGUUCGUUCCCUUAUGAAGCCAAUGCACGUGUUUUUUUUAAGGCAAAUACUCAUUCAAUAAGAAAAACCUUCAUGCAAUUGGAGAUACACCUAACCCCUAUGAGAAGGCCAUCUCAAUUGUUGGCAAGACUUUGGCUCCCUUUGGUCAUGAUAACUUGAUUCCAUGCUUUGGCUUUGGUGAUU
Molecule: long non-coding RNA, 7849 nt
Filed under: Trifolium pratense (red clover)
Lineage: Eukaryota; Viridiplantae; Streptophyta; Magnoliopsida; Fabales; Fabaceae
Description: long non-coding RNA (TPRA_LNC003715)
Source: RNAcentral